Neofelis nebulosa (Clouded leopard) is the source of this 6460-nucleotide long non-coding RNA. RefSeq lists it as uncharacterized. The transcript has 2 exons. Lineage: Eukaryota; Metazoa; Chordata; Mammalia; Carnivora; Felidae. The record is from RefSeq and is a predicted model, not a curated record.
CUGAGCUGGAAGGCAGCCUGUGCUUGGAAUCCAGACGGACGGGCUGUGGCUGGGCUGAGCAAGGGUCACCUUAACCAUCAGAUCCCAUUACCCACUGCACAGGCGAUGCUGUCAGACGUGGAGCGGUCGAUUGAGAAUCGGCGAAAAUACCAAACCAGCCAGGCAGCUACUGAAUCCAAUCUCUGUGGCAGAUGCUGCUGGAGCCAGAAAGUCAGUGGGCGCCAACCGAGGCGGACGGUCCAGAGGUCGGCAUCCGGGCUGGGCCUCUCGCUGUCUGCGGGAUGCUGAGCAAGUUACUUAACCUCUCCGAGCCCUCCUUCCCUCAUCCAUGAGCAGGAGAGAAAACGCUUAAAUUCCAGGAUUGCCAGGAGGCGGGGGCAGGUAGAGCUCCGUGUCAACAAAUAUCCUCUUACUCAUUUUACAUCCCCUUUUUGUCAAGGGGGGAUGGACAGGAGCGGGGACGGGGGCAUUUCAUAAGGCAGCUGAAGGGGUCCCACAGUUUGGAAAGAGGUGGAGACUGCCACUCCCUAGAAGCUGGGCCUGGCCAGGCCUGGUUUGCAAAAAUUGUUCUCAUUUCAGGGCAAAAGAUGAGAGGGCAGAGUAGUCACUAAGGACAGUCUUAAAACCCACGAGCUUCGGGAUUCAUGGACCUGACUGCACAUCUGAAAUUUGGAGACAAGUGUCGCUCGUGUCCUGCCUUGCUCCCCAGUGUCUUAGGCUGAGCUGGGUGAGGAGCGCCUUAAUUUCACCAAUUUAGAGCAAUUUGAGGCAAGUCCCUGAGCCUCAGUUUCUUCAUCUGUAAAAUGGGUGUUAUAACACCUACUUCCCAGAAGCAGUGCAGGGAUGGGUUGCCAUAGUGCCUGUGUCACCUGGCACAGGGCUGACAAAUGACAAAAAAAGGUGAACUGCCUGUCCCCUCUCUUCCCCUGCUGCUGAGUCCAGUCCUCGGUGGGGCACUGUCACAGAGAUGUCACGUUACCCCAGCAAGUCGCUUUCUGCUUGCUCCCUCAGUUUCCCUGGCAGUGGACAGUUCCCCACCAACGACACAAGCCAAGAGGCGGGAUCCAGCAGAGCGCUGAGGGGAAAGGAAAAAGUCAACCCCGAGAAAACCGGUCAGCAUUUAUUCGGAGAACGUUCUUGGUGGAUUUAAAAGGAAUUAGUGUGCCUUGACUCACUCCAGAUGCCACCCGGCUCUAUCUUUAGAAACUUCUAACCGAGGGAAGGUUCCAGGGAUGUGAGCAUCCCUGUUCUCCAAGGUUGACUCUAUAAAUACCCUCCCAGUCGGCCUCGGGAGCUCUGUCCUCCGACCCAGAAAUAGCCCCUUCAGUCAGCAGUCCUGGAAGCAGCCCUUAGCCCGGAGCCCUAAGAAGUGUGGGCACCAAGUGGGGCCCAGGGCCGCCACACGCCGCCUCCCCCACGGCCACGCAUGGCUCACCAUGCUGCUGGGCUUUGCUGCAGAGCCCGGGAACGGGCAGGAAGCAAGCAAACAGAAAAUCCAGUCACUGUCCCGGAGCGUGGGGGACAGAAGCUGGGGGAUGGGGACAGCAAGGCCCUGGCGGGACGGCUGAAUGCUCACUGCUCCUGUGACUGUUCUCGGAGUUUCUGCUCGGCACCCAGCGGCACGCCAGGCAGGGAGGCGCCUUCGAAGGCCCACGGGCCUGACACAGAGGCCGGCGGGCAGUGCUCUCUCCUUCCGGGAGGCCUAGAAACCCCAACACCGUAGUGAUUUGAUUCGGGGAAGUGGAGCCUGACUAGGAAAGGGGGACAUCCUCGGAAAAGCAAGGAAACCGACGUCAUUUCCUCAGGUCUGUUGGUAGCUGCCUCCCGCUUUGCACAUUUCUGCCAACGAGCCCGGAGAGGAGGGCCUGCCGUUAGAAUGAUGCCUGAAGUGCACCAGGCCGGCUCUGUAUUGAAGGUAACCUGGGUGAGCUUGUCUGUGGGGAAGCUAAGUGUGCCUGCUGUACACACGCACACGCACGCACACACACACGCACACACACACACUCUACCCUCACUCAGUCCCCACCUCCUAGAUCUAGCUCCCCACCGCAGAUGUGAAAACCAGCACAUGACCAGGCUGUCAGUGGGCACACGAGGGCUUUUGUUCCCCAGGAUCAACUCCCAGACCACAGUCAAGGUGACUGUGGAGCCCUGUGGCCUCAGCAAGACCCUUCACCUCCAGAUGUCUCUGUGUUUGCCUUGCGACUGGGGGCUCAUCAGUCCAGCAGCUGUGAGCAUCUGAAGAGCUAAUGUUUCUAAAACAGCACAGAGCAGCUGCUCGAUAAAGGACGAAAAGCAAUUGCGAGGCACGAUCUUGGAGACGUCGCGGGUUUCAUACGUGCCUGCAGGUCGGCCCACACACUCAGCUCCCGUCACUAACUCUGCUUCCCCGGGAAAGGCCUUCGGUUCAUGCAGACGACCCAUUCCCAGGCCAGGGCCACCGCACAUGCCUACGGCCACGCGCUUCCCUCGAGGCCCAGGCUCCCGCCCUCUUGGAACUUUGGGGUUCAUUUCGUGACUUGGACCCGCAGACUUGAGCUCCUAUUUGGAGGGGUGGACUGUCAGCUUCGAAACCCGGUGUCACGUUACAGAAAUCACAGGCUUGUUCCUGAGCCACUGCGGGUAGAAUUAAAUAGUCAGCAAGACUGCAGGGUUAAAAGUCAAGAAAGCAAUUUUUUAAAAAACUGAUCUCAACUCAUUCUGUAAUAUUUCCUAUUUACAUUGAAGAAAUGUCAAUUCUUGGCUUCAGGCCUCACGAGAGACCAAGGAUUGAAUGAUGCUUAUGAGACAGAUAUAAAUCUUUGAUAAGACAAUAACCGCAGAGAGGGACAUGCCUGGAAACGUUAAGUGGGUUCGAUUCGGUCACAGCUCUCUCCUGCGGCCCUGACUUGACUCACAAACAUCUGGAUGUCCUGCUCAGUCACGUUCCCUGUAUCUGGUGAGGAGGGUGGCCUGUGUGUGACGCGGGCACUUUGCGUCUGGGCCUCUUGGGCACUGUGGGUCAGAAGUGUGCUAAUUAUUCUUUUAUUUGUACUUUGGUCCCCAAAGCUUAAACGCUCAGUUGGCAUUUGUCUUCGUGCCGGAUGUAGCCGUGGCUGUACCCAAAGGCACCGAUUCUGUCUACAGCUUCCCUGCCCGCACAGCCACGUGCAUCACAGACCAGGUCACCUGCUGAGCAUCCCAGUGGCAUCUAGGAAUCAGGGCAAGAGCCCAGGGCAAGAACUGGACAUAAGGAAGGACUGCCAAGCCUUGGCCAGACUCUGGACCUCUUUGUCAGUUUCUCAAACCGUACCCAGGAUCUCGGGUUUGGGAACGAGACUGGUAAGAAGCCCUACUCUGGGGCAGAACGGGCAAUUGAGACAAGACUUAGGAGUUGGGCAGCGAUUCUGAUGAUGAUGCCUUCAGGCAAAGAACCACGUGGAGGGACACAGGUGGGGGCGGGGGACCUGUGGGUCUAACUCGCAAGAGUCUACAAAUUCAGGUGUCAUCAACCUGUCCAAGUCGUGAGGUUCAACCUGCUGCAAAAUGUCAGAACUGUGAAGUUCAACCACCUUUAUGAUUUAUUGAUGACCACUGAUGGCUGGGACCAAAACACAGAUGGAAGAGAAUAAGUGACCAGUGGAUGGGCUUGUCUAGCGUGAGGCUCAAAAGCACUUCGUUCUUUUUUCUCCCUCCCUGGGAAAGCCAUUAGAUGUCCUUCAGUUUUCUGGUGGGAAGCAGAGAGAGGACUCUGCUGUGACAUGUGUCCUGGCAGUCAGGGCCCAGGCCUCACAAGCCUGAGGUGCCCGGCAUUGGUGGCUGAAGACUUGGACUUUUGAUAGCCAUCAUGCUCCUCACAAUUACAAAUACAUUCCUUCCCCUGCGAACCUGGGAGAACGGGGCCCAGCCCUCCCCACCGCCCAGCUAAUUGCUGAGGGAGCUGCCAGGGUCCUGCCCGGGACAGAAAACAGAGAGUGGGGAGCCCCUCGGGGAAGGCUGGAAGGGGUUCCGAUAAUCGACAGCACAGCCCUCAUCAAUCUCGGAUCCUCAUCGGUCUGUGGCCUAUUAAGCUCUCCCUGUCUGUCAAUAACCCAUUAUUGCUCUCUUGCUGAGCGCUCUGAGGCUAGCUUCCAUUUGGCCAGAGAAAAAUAAUGAUUGUUUGUUUAUUAGUUGGGAGGAGAUGUCCAGCCACAAACGUGCAUUGGGCCAAAGCCAGUUUCUGUCGAGCUCUCCCAUGGCCCAAGCCCUCCCUGCUAGAACCCUGUACUUGUGGAUCCGGAGGCUGAAAUCUGUCCCGAGCAGGUGGCUCAGGGGCGACCAGGAUCUAUGGAUUUUUCCACACAGCCAACAGCACACCGGCAGCCCUGACUCAUUCCUUAGCCACUGCUAGGUAGGUGGGGUGCCGCCAUGCCACAAAAGGUAAUAUGACAAAGGGACCCAGGCUGGUCUGGCCAUGGCCUGGAGCCUUUCCCACUGAGCUCUGGGAGGCCUCGGCUGGAAGCUGCUGGCUGAGAGUCUGGCAACCAUUCGGAGUCAGGGCCACCAGGACUGGGCUGGGCUGGGCGUGAGCAACCACUUCCCGUUUCCCUCUGCUGGCUCUCUGCCCCCAGCCUCUCUCCACCGCCUCCCUCAGCAAGGUCAUACUGACGGGGUGCAAAGCUCAGUUCUGCCACUUAUGAGUGGUGAGAUCUCGGCAAAUUGUUUGACUCCUCUGAGCCUCGAGGGGCUCCUAUAAUAAACAGGAAUCUUGGAACUGUGCCACGGGAUCGACAUGAGACGACAUAUGGUAAGUGGGUGAUCCGAAUCCUGUGCAUACGAGGCCCUCAAUACGGGGUGGCUGUGCCGUUGUUAGUGGGUCUUGUCCUUUCUCCUCCCGGGGCGCGCGCCCUCGUAAGUCCUCACGCUCACCUGCCGGAGGAACUGGUGGCCUGUUCCUGAUCUGCCUGCCCGUGCCUUCGCUUUCCCAGUGGGCAGGGGGCGCCCGCUCCCCAGCUGCCACCUUCCUUGCCGGCCUUCAAGUGAACUUGCCCUUGCCUUUGGGAGAAUUUUUACUGUUAGUCACUGAAAGGAAACAGGAAGGCCCAACCCAGGCUAGCACUCUUCAGGCCCGGGCCCAGGUCUCAAGUCUGACGCUAGCUUGCCGUGUGAUCCCUCAGAGGUCACUUAGCACCCCGGAUCCUCAGCACUCACCUGUCAAAUAGGAGGGCUGUCCUCAACAAGCAUCAAGAGUCUCUGCUGCCCUAGAAGUAGUGUUUCCUGUUAGAAACAGAAGAGGGACGCCCGGGUGGCUCGGUCAGUUGAGCGUCCGACUCUUGGUUUUGGCUCAGGUCAUGAUCUCACGGUUCGUGGGUUCGAGCCCCAUGUUGGGCCCACGAUGACAGUGUGGGGCCUGCUUGGGAUUCUCUCUCUAUCUCUCUCUCUCUCUCUCUCUCUCUCUUUGCACCUCCCCUGCUCACACUCUCUCUCUGUUUCUCAGAAUAAAUACACUUAAAAAAGAAAACAGAAACAGAAGAAACAUCUUACAAUAUCCUCCUCGGUAUGUACUUCUCGUCUAUUCCUUUCCUCUUUUCUUACCCGACUGGCGGAUGUCGACCAUCUUACCAUUGUUCUGAGGACAUUAGCAUCCCUCACCACCUCCAGCAUCUGUGCAUCCUGUUCUGGAGGAUCAGUAGGAUUAAAGCUGAGUCUAGAGGUGGUAACAAACGACCCCGAAUCCGCAUGGUUUACAGCAGCCAAGAGUUCGGUCUUUCUCACACUCACGUUCAUGGGGGGUCUGCAGAGCUCGGUUCCACGUCACCUUCACUCCAGGACCAAGGCUGGCGGACAGCAGUCCCACCCGGCCGAGGAAGAGGCAAUGGUGGGAGCUGUCACGGCGCUUCAGGCGUCUGCUUGGACCCAGCACACGUCAUUUCCACUACAUCUCGCUGCCUGAGGGACCAGCCUGCCUCAGUGCAGCAGAAGUCAGAACCCUCCCUCAGGGAUGGGCCAUGAAUGUCUUGACAAUACGUAAUCUGCCCCAUAAUAAAACCUUACACCUGGGCUUCACAACUCUAGUCCACCCCUCUUGCUCUACAUGUGUGGGGAAGAAAGCCCAGAGACGGGAGGCGAUGUGCCUGACGUCACACAGCAGUCAGUGGAAGACAAGCAUGCGGAUGACCUUCCAGUUCAACGGGAGCAGGACCCGAAUGGACCCCUAGCUCUGUCGUUCUAGGCAAAUCCUUUCCAGCCUGAGCUUUGGCUCGCCUUUCUGGAAUACGGGGUGAUAGUGUCGACUUCCCGGCAGGGACGUUUGGAGGAAUGGGUAAGACUUCAUAAGGUACCACACUCAGUGUCUGACACAGAGGAGCCUCUUAAUACACAUCUGUUCCCGUGUCUUCCCUCCGUGUCAACAGCCCCAAACUCUUUCGCCUCAUCCCCCUACGCUCUCUGCCUCCAAGCCCGCCUCUUCUUCAUUUAGAAGUCGAGAGAAACAGAAAUUUUU